RNAcentral lists this ribosomal RNA (462 nucleotides) under uncultured bacterium. RNAcentral's name for it is "partial 16S ribosomal RNA". It matches the Rfam family "Bacterial small subunit ribosomal RNA", at positions 28 to 507 of the family's 1533-position model. The record is from RNAcentral.
GAUGAACGCUGACAGAAUGCUUAACACAUGCAAGUCAUUGGCGAAGCUGCGCUUGCGCAGUCUAGCCAAGGCGGACGGGUGAGUAACGCGUAAGGAACUUGCCCUGCAGACAGGGAUAACAGACGGAAACGACUGAUAACACCUGGUAUUGUCAGGCUGGCGCAUGCCGGCCUGAUGAUAGGAGACGCUGCAGGAGAGCCUUGCGUCCUAUUAGCUAGUUGGUGGGGUAACGGCCCACCAAGGCGAUGAUAGGUAGCCGGCCUGGGAGGGUGAACGGCCACAAGGGGACUGGGAUACGGCCCUUACUCCUACGGGAGGCAGCAGUGGGGAAUAUUGGACAAUGGGGGCAACCCUGAUCCAGCAAUUCUGUGUGCACGAAGAAGGUUUUCGGAUUGUAAAGUGCUUUCAGCAGGGAAGAAGAAAGUGACGGUACCUGCAGAAGAAGCGACGGCUAAAUACGUG